UUUACAUUUGGUGGGAAUUAAAGGGCCAAUUUAUUAUUUUCUUCAACAGAUAAUCAGUUAUUCAAGGUCAGUUUAAGAACAAAAUCAGCUUUCCUUUCACCUACCACCAUCACCACACUAUGCACCCCAAGAAAGACCCAGAAACUCUGCUCAUGGUGCUGUAGCCAUGUGAGCCACAGCCUCUAGAGUAAUGAUGGCAAAUCCAAUGACCUACUUGGUGACGGAAAAGAGACGGGAGCUGCAAGACAUGGGGCACCCAUGGCCAGAGUCUCAGAUGGCUGCCUGACUAGAAUGUCAAGGAGGGGACAUCACGGGAAAAUGAGAGGAAGAUGACAAAAAUGCUGAAGCAGGGGUAUAAUGGGAAGAUUUCAACUUAAGCUUUGAUUGGAUGGCUAAAAACAAAU
This 404-nucleotide long non-coding RNA is filed under the name Mus spicilegus (steppe mouse). RNAcentral describes it as "lncRNA (ENSMSIG00000003701.1)". The record is from RNAcentral. Lineage: Eukaryota; Metazoa; Chordata; Mammalia; Rodentia; Muridae.